This 253-nucleotide ribosomal RNA is filed under the name uncultured bacterium. RNAcentral's name for it is "partial 16S ribosomal RNA". It matches the Rfam family "Bacterial small subunit ribosomal RNA", at positions 524 to 776 of the family's 1533-position model. The record is from RNAcentral.
UACGUAGGAGGCGAGCGUUGUCCGGAAUUACUGGGCGUAAAGCGUGCGCAGGCGGUUGUGCAAGACAGAUGUGAAAUCCCCGGGCUUAACCUGGGAACUGCAUUUGUGACUGCACGGCUAGAGUGUGUCAGAGGGGGGUAGAAUUCCACGUGUAGCAGUGAAAUGCGUAGAGAUGUGGAGGAAUACCGAUGGCGAAGGCAGCCCCCUGGGAUAACACUGACGCUCAUGCACGAAGGCGUGGGGAGCAAACAGG